CCUGAACGCUGGCGGCGUGGCUAAGACAUGCAAGUCGUACGGGCCGGCAGCAAUGCCGGCCAGUGGCGGACGGGUGAGUAAUGUAUCGCUAAUGUACCCCGAACUCCGGGAUAGCCGUGGGAAACUGCGGGUAAUACCGGAUGACAUCGCCGCGGAGCAUUCCGCGGGGCUCAAAGGGUCACCGGUUCGGGAGCAGGCGAUAUCGUAUCAGCUAGUUGGUGCGGGUAACGGCCCACCAAGGCGACGACGCGUAGCUGGUCUGAGAGGACGGCCAGCCACAUUGGGACUGAGACACUGCCCAGACUCCUACGGGGGGCUGCAGUAACGAAUCUUCCGCAAUGCACGCAAGUGUGACGGAGCGACGCCGCGUGGAGGUUUAAGUCCUCGG
This 388-nucleotide ribosomal RNA is filed under the name uncultured bacterium. Its description in RNAcentral is "bacterial SSU rRNA". It matches the Rfam family "Bacterial small subunit ribosomal RNA", at positions 30 to 420 of the family's 1533-position model. The record is from RNAcentral.